This 447-nucleotide ribosomal RNA is filed under the name uncultured bacterium. RNAcentral's name for it is "SSU rRNA". It matches the Rfam family "Bacterial small subunit ribosomal RNA", at positions 26 to 518 of the family's 1533-position model. The record is from RNAcentral.
AGAGCGAACGCUGGCGGCAGGCCUAACACAUGCAAGUCGAGCGCCCGUAGCAAUACGGGAGCGGCAGACGGGAUAGUAACACGUGGGAACGCGCCCUUCGGUUCGGAAUAACUCAGGGAAACUUGAGCUAAUACCGGAUACGCCCUUACGGGGAAAGAUUUAUUGCCGAAGGAACGGCCCGCGUCCGAUUAGCUAGUUGGUGAGGUAAUGGCUCACCAAGGCGACGAUCGGUAGCUGGUCUGAGAGGAUGACCAGCAUCACUGGGACUGAGACACGGCCCAGACUCCUACGGGAGGCAGCAGUGGGGAAUAUUGGACAAUGGGCGCAAGCCUGAUCCAGCCAUGCCGCGUGGAUGAUGAAGGCCUUAGGGUUGUAAAGUCCUUUUAACGGGGAAGAUAAUGACGGUACCCGUAGAAUAAGCCCGGCUAACUUUGCGCCAGCAGCCGC